GGGCUUCGWAUGACGCGGGCUGGACCUCUCGGGGUUACAGCCUUGCUGAAUUAUUCACCCUUGUCUUUUGCGUACUUCUUGUUUCCUUGGUGGGUUCGCCCACCACUAGGACAAACAUAAACCUUUUGUAAUUGCAAUCAGCGUCAGUAACAAAUUAAUAAUUACAACUUUCAACAACGGAUCUCUUGGUUCUGGCAUCGAUGAAGAACGCAGCGAAAUGCGAUAAGUAGUGUGAAUUGCAGAAUUCAGUGAAUCAUCGAAUCUUUGAACGCACAUUGCGCCCUUUGGUAUUCCAAAGGGCAUGCCUGUUCGAGCGUCAUUUGUACCCUCAAGCUUUGCUUGGUGUUGGGCGUCUUGUCUCUAGCUUUGCUGGAGACUCGCCUUAAAGUAAUUGGCAGCCGGCCUACUGGUUUCGGAGCGCAGCACAAGUCGCACUCUCUAUCAGCAAAGGUCUAGCAUCCAUUAAGCCUUUUUUUCAACUUUUGACCUCGGAUCAGGUAGGGAUACCCGCUGAACUUAAGCAUAUCAAAAGGCCGGAGGAA
Molecule: ribosomal RNA, 542 nt
Filed under: Alternaria ochroleuca
Lineage: Eukaryota; Fungi; Ascomycota; Dothideomycetes; Pleosporales; Pleosporaceae
Description: eukaryotic LSU rRNA
Source: RNAcentral